GGGGACGAAAGGAUUUCGACGGGGAUUCUGAAUCACGAUAAGCGAGUAGUGGUGUAAGCCCACUUUAAUCCCUUACACGUUUUCAAAAGAAACGACAAUAAACCAGUUUUACAGGCUGCCUAAGAGCAACCCGUCUUAGUUAAGAGUACCGCGACUUAGCAUAAGGCGUCUACCAGCGGUGAACGUGAACUGUGUCUCGUUCCGGACACAGUCAUGACCUUGGAACUACCGAAAACUUUAGCCUGAUUGCCGGCGACUGUUCGGGGGAAUCUUAAAAGACAAUAUACACUCGUAGAAAGUUGUGUGGAUGGAUUUUCGGACGCGGUUUCGAUUACCGCCGUCUCCACCA
RNAcentral lists this transfer-messenger RNA (349 nucleotides) under Clostridia bacterium. It matches the Rfam family "transfer-messenger RNA". Rfam says of the family: Bacterial tmRNA, also known as 10Sa RNA or SsrA, is named for its dual tRNA and mRNA-like properties. The record is from RNAcentral. Lineage: Bacteria; Bacillati; Bacillota; Clostridia. RNAcentral also lists the same sequence under 1 other name.